AUGGAUUGAGAGCUUGCUCUCAAGAAGUUAGCGGCGGACGGGUGAGUAACACGUGGGUAACCUGCCCAUAAGACUGGGAUAACUCCGGGAAACCGGGGCUAAUACCGGAUAACAUUUUGAACUGCAUGGUUCGAAAUUGAAAGGCGGCUUCGGCUGUCACUUAUGGAUGGACCCGCGUCGCAUUAGCUAGUUGGUGAGGUAACGGCUCACCAAGGCAACGAUGCGUAGCCGACCUGAGAGGGUGAUCGGCCACACUGGGACUGAGACACGGCCCAGACUCCUACGGGAGGCAGCAGUAGGGAAUCUUCCGCAAUGGACGAAAGUCUGACGGAGCAACGCCGCGUGAGUGAUGAAGGCUUUCGGGUCGUAAAACUCUGUUGUUAGGGAAGAACAAGUGCUAGUUGAAUAAGCUGGCACCUUGACGGUACCUAACCAGAAAGCCACGGCUAACUACGUGCCAGCAGCCGCGGUAAUACGUAGGUGGCAAGCGUUAUCCGGAAUUAUUGGGCGUAAAGCGCGCGCAGGUGGUUUCUUAAGUCUGAUGUGAAAGCCCACGGCUCAACCGUGGAGGGUCAUUGGAAACUGGGAGACUUGAGUGCAGAAGAGGAAAGUGGAAUUCCAUGUGUAGCGGUGAAAUGCGUAGAGAUAUGGAGGAACACCAGUGGCGAAGGCGACUUUCUGGUCUGUAACUGACACUGAGGCGCGAAAGCGUGG
Molecule: ribosomal RNA, 714 nt
Filed under: Bacillus sp. (in: firmicutes)
Lineage: Bacteria; Bacillati; Bacillota; Bacilli; Caryophanales; Bacillaceae
Description: bacterial SSU rRNA
Rfam family: Bacterial small subunit ribosomal RNA
Source: RNAcentral